UACGUAGGGUGCAAGCGUUAAUCGGAAUUACUGGGCGUAAAGCGUGCGCAGGCGGUGAUGUAAGACAGAUGUGAAAUCCCCGAGCUCGACUUGGGAACUGCAUUUGUGACUGCAUCGCUGGAGUGCGGCAGAGGGGGAUGGAAUUCCGCGUGUAGCAGUGAAAUGCGUAGAUAUGCGGAGGAACACCGAUGGCGAAGGCAAUCCCCUGGGCCUGCACUGACGCUCAUGCACGAAAGCGUGGGGAGCAAACAGG
RNAcentral lists this ribosomal RNA (253 nucleotides) under uncultured bacterium. RNAcentral's name for it is "partial 16S ribosomal RNA". It matches the Rfam family "Bacterial small subunit ribosomal RNA", at positions 524 to 776 of the family's 1533-position model. The record is from RNAcentral.